RNAcentral lists this long non-coding RNA (225 nucleotides) under Lathyrus oleraceus (garden pea). RNAcentral describes it as "Pisum sativum (pea) long non-coding RNA (PSAT_LNC035366)". Lineage: Eukaryota; Viridiplantae; Streptophyta; Magnoliopsida; Fabales; Fabaceae. The record is from RNAcentral.
UAUAAGUUAUUAGAAUUUUAAUUAAUUAUUAGAAUAUAUAGUGUUUUAUUCGAAUUAAUUAAAUAAAUAAUAAAAUGAUAGAAUUGGGUCAUUAGUGAGAAUUGGAGGAAAUAGGUGGUGGGAUUAGAGAAACUAGUAUUGAGUUGGACAAAGUUAAUAAUUAAGCAAAGUGUUGAGGAACUAUAUAUUCUAAAAAUAGGGAGAAAACUAGGUUUUAGAGGAAAC